Molecule: ribosomal RNA, 356 nt
Filed under: uncultured bacterium
Lineage: Bacteria
Description: bacterial SSU rRNA
Rfam family: Bacterial small subunit ribosomal RNA
Source: RNAcentral
AGAGUUUGAUCAUGGCUCAGGAUGAACGCUAGCCCUACAGGCUUAACACAUGCAAGUCGAGGGGCAGCAUGGUCUUAGCUUGCUAAGGCCGAUGGCGACCGGCGCACGGGUGAGUAACGCGUAUCCAACCUGCCUUACACUCUUGGACAGCCUUCUGAAAGGGAGGUUAAUACAAGAUGUUAUCAUGAGUAAGCAUUUUCGCAUGAUUAAAGGUUUACCGGUGUAAGAUGGGGAUGCGUUCCAUUAGAUAGUAGGCGGGGUAACGGCCCACCUAGUCUUCGAUGGAUAGGGGUUCUGAGAGGAAGGUCCCCCACAUUGGAACUGAGACACGGUCCAAACUCCUACGGGAGGCAGCA